CCGGCGCACGGUGAGUAACACGUAUGGAACCUGCCCUAUGCAGGGGGAUAAGCGGAAGAAAUUCCGUCUAAUACCGCAUAACACCUUUAGGAGACAUCUUCUUGGGGGUCAAAGGAGGCGACUCCGGCAUAGGAUGGCCAUGCGUCGCAUUAGCUAGUCGGCGGGGUAACGGCCCACCGAGGCGACGAUGCGUAGGGGUUCUGAGAGGAAGGUCCCCCACACUGGUACUGAGACACGGACCAGACUCCUACGGGAGGCAGCAG
RNAcentral lists this ribosomal RNA (263 nucleotides) under uncultured bacterium. Its description in RNAcentral is "partial 16S ribosomal RNA". It matches the Rfam family "Bacterial small subunit ribosomal RNA", at positions 95 to 354 of the family's 1533-position model. The record is from RNAcentral.